CCCCUCUCAGGGACGCAUCUGGAGAGUUUCCAGUCCUCUACCAGCCACGACUACAGGAGGGAAAGUCAAGCAGGGGCCACUCCAUUCCUAGCUUGGGCAGUGGCUAGCGAAUGGAAGACAAUCUGCUACAAGU
Small nucleolar RNA from Ornithorhynchus anatinus (platypus), 133 nucleotides. Lineage: Eukaryota; Metazoa; Chordata; Mammalia; Monotremata; Ornithorhynchidae. The record is from RefSeq and is a predicted model, not a curated record.